UACGUAGGGUGCAAGCGUUGUCCGGAAUUAUUGGGCGUAAAGAGCUCGUAGGCGGUUUGUCACGUCUGCUGUGAAAACUCGGGGCUUAACUCCGGGCCUGCAGUGGGUACGGGCAGACUAGAGUGCGGUAGGGGUGACUGGAAUUCCUGGUGUAGCGGUGGAAUGCGCAGAUAUCAGGAGGAACACCGAUGGCGAAGGCAGGUCACUGGGCCGCAACUGACGCUGAGACGCGAAAGCGUGGGGAGCGAACAGG
RNAcentral lists this ribosomal RNA (253 nucleotides) under uncultured bacterium. Its description in RNAcentral is "partial 16S ribosomal RNA". It matches the Rfam family "Bacterial small subunit ribosomal RNA", at positions 524 to 776 of the family's 1533-position model. The record is from RNAcentral.